CCUACGGGAGGCAGCAGUGGGGAAUAUUGGGCAAUGGAGGCAACUCUGACCCAGCAAUGCCGCGUGAGUGAUGAAGGUAAUUUUAUUGUAAAGCUCUUUUCUUUGGAACGCAUAAAUAACGGUACCAAAGGAAUAAGCCCCGGCUAACUACGUACCAUCAGCCUCGGUCAUACGUAGGGGGCCAGCGUUGUUCGGAAUGACUGCGCGUAAAGGGUGUGUAGGUGGUUUGAUAAGUUAGAUGUGUAAUACCCAGGGCUUAACUCGGGUGCUGCAUCUAAAACUGUUAGACUUGAGUACUGGAGAGGAUAGUGGAAUGCGUAGUGUAGCGGUGGAAUGCGUAGAUAUCAGGAGGAACACCAGUGGCGAAGGCGACUAUCUGGACAGCAACUGACACUGAGGCACGAAAGCGUGGGGAGCAAACAGGAUUAGAUACCCGUGUAGUC
This 443-nucleotide ribosomal RNA is filed under the name uncultured bacterium. RNAcentral describes it as "partial 16S ribosomal RNA". It matches the Rfam family "Bacterial small subunit ribosomal RNA", at positions 338 to 795 of the family's 1533-position model. The record is from RNAcentral.